Molecule: transfer RNA, 63 nt
Filed under: Plautia stali
Lineage: Eukaryota; Metazoa; Arthropoda; Insecta; Hemiptera; Pentatomidae
Also listed under: 2 other names
Description: tRNA-Pro
Source: RNAcentral
CAGUAGAUAGUUUAAAAAAAAUUUUAAUUUUGGAGAUUAAAGAUAAGCGUGGCUUUUUACUGA